RNAcentral lists this ribosomal RNA (253 nucleotides) under uncultured bacterium. RNAcentral's name for it is "partial 16S ribosomal RNA". It matches the Rfam family "Bacterial small subunit ribosomal RNA", at positions 524 to 776 of the family's 1533-position model. The record is from RNAcentral.
CACGUAGGGCGCAAGCGUUGUCCGGAAUUAUUGGGCGUAAAGAGCUCGUAGGCGGUCUGUUGCGUCCGCUGUGAAAACUCGGGGCUUAACCCCGAGCUUGCAGUGGAUACGGGCAGACUAGAGGUAGGUAGGGGAGAAUGGAAUUCCCGGUGUAGCGGUGAAAUGCGCAGAUAUCGGGAGGAACACCGGUGGCGAAGGCAGCCUCCUGGGCCAGCACUGACGCUCAUGCACGAAAGCGUGGGGAGCAAACAGG